GACGAACGCUGGCGGCGUGCUUAACACAUGCAAGUCGAACGGAAAGGCCCUGCUUUUGUGGGGUGCUCGAGUGGCGAAGGGGUGAGUAACACGUGAGUAACCUGCCCUGGACUUUGGGAUAACUUCAGGAAACUGGGGCUAAUACCGGAUAGGAGCUCCUGCUGCAUGGUGGGGGUUGGAAAGUUUCGGCGGUUGGGGAUGGACUCGCGGCUUAUCAGCUUGUUGGUGGGGUAGUGGCUUACCAAGGCUUUGACGGGUAGCCGGCCUGAGAGGGUGACCGGCCACAUUGGGACUGAGAUACGGCCCAGACUCCUACGGGAGGCAGCAGUGGGGAAUAUUGCACAAUGGGCGGAAGCCUGAUGCAGCAACGCCGCGUGCGGGAUGACGGCCUUCGGGUUGUAAACCGCUUUCGCCUGUGACGAAGCGUGAGUGACGGUAAUGGGUAAAGAAGCACCGGCUAACUACGUG
This 468-nucleotide ribosomal RNA is filed under the name uncultured bacterium. Its description in RNAcentral is "partial 16S ribosomal RNA". It matches the Rfam family "Bacterial small subunit ribosomal RNA", at positions 28 to 507 of the family's 1533-position model. The record is from RNAcentral.